RNAcentral lists this ribosomal RNA (827 nucleotides) under Streptococcus sp. HFH0043. RNAcentral's name for it is "bacterial SSU rRNA". It matches the Rfam family "Bacterial small subunit ribosomal RNA", at positions 75 to 887 of the family's 1533-position model. The record is from RNAcentral. Lineage: Bacteria; Bacillati; Bacillota; Bacilli; Lactobacillales; Streptococcaceae.
GGAGCUUGCUCUUCUUGGAUGAGUUGCGAACGGGUGAGUAACGCGUAGGUAACCUGCCUUGUAGCGGGGGAUAACUAUUGGAAACGAUAGCUAAUACCGCAUAACAAUGGAUGACACAUGUCAUUUAUUUGAAAGGGGCAAUUGCUCCACUACAAGAUGGACCUGCGUUGUAUUAGCUAGUAGGUGAGGUAACGGCUCACCUAGGCGACGAUACAUAGCCGACCUGAGAGGGUGAUCGGCCACACUGGGACUGAGACACGGCCCAGACUCCUACGGGAGGCAGCAGUAGGGAAUCUUCGGCAAUGGGGGCAACCCUGACCGAGCAACGCCGCGUGAGUGAAGAAGGUUUUCGGAUCGUAAAGCUCUGUUGUAAGUCAAGAACGAGUGUGAGAGUGGAAAGUUCACACUGUGACGGUAGCUUACCAGAAAGGGACGGCUAACUACGUGCCAGCAGCCGCGGUAAUACGUAGGUCCCGAGCGUUGUCCGGAUUUAUUGGGCGUAAAGCGAGCGCAGGCGGUUUGAUAAGUCUGAAGUUAAAGGCUGUGGCUCAACCAUAGUUCGCUUUGGAAACUGUCAAACUUGAGUGCAGAAGGGGAGAGUGGAAUUCCAUGUGUAGCGGUGAAAUGCGUAGAUAUAUGGAGGAACACCGGUGGCGAAAGCGGCUCUCUGGUCUGUAACUGACGCUGAGGCUCGAAAGCGUGGGGAGCGAACAGGAUUAGAUACCCUGGUAGUCCACGCCGUAAACGAUGAGUGCUAGGUGUUGGAUCCUUUCCGGGAUUCAGUGCCGCAGCUAACGCAUUAAGCACUCCGCCUGGGGAGUACGACC